This 71-nucleotide transfer RNA is filed under the name Nitrososphaerota archaeon. RNAcentral's name for it is "tRNA-His". It matches the Rfam family "tRNA". From Rfam's summary of the family: Transfer RNA (tRNA) molecules are approximately 80 nucleotides in length. Their secondary structure includes four short double-helical elements and three loops (D, anti-codon, and T loops). Further hydrogen bonds mediate the characteristic L-shaped molecular structure. tRNAs have two regions of fundamental functional importance: the anti-codon, which is responsible for specific mRNA codon recognition, and the 3' end, to which the tRNAs corresponding amino acid is attached (by aminoacyl-tRNA synthetases). tRNAs cope with the degeneracy of the genetic code in two manners: having more than one tRNA (with a specific anti-codon) for a particular amino acid; and 'wobble' base-pairing, i.e. permitting non-standard base-pairing at the 3rd anti-codon position. The record is from RNAcentral. Lineage: Archaea; Thermoproteati; Nitrososphaerota.
GCCGCCAUCGUAUAGUGGUAGUAUCGGGGCCUGUGGAGCCCUGGGCAGGGGUUCGAUUCCCCUUGGCGGCC